Drosophila novamexicana is the source of this 1762-nucleotide RNA transcript. RefSeq lists it as uncharacterized. The record is from RefSeq and is a predicted model, not a curated record. Lineage: Eukaryota; Metazoa; Arthropoda; Insecta; Diptera; Drosophilidae. The transcript is spliced from 5 exons.
UAACCUUUUGUCGUUUUUUGCCUUAACUAACUUGUCACCAACAGUCUUCCUUGUAAUAGUUUAAAAAACAAAACAUUUUUUUUUUUAAUUUUUUGCAUAAUCAAAUGAAAAUAACGGCAAUAUUGGCACUCAAUAUUGUAGCUUGCUGUAAAUAUCAUUUUAUCGACCUGUUAACAGAGAACUAGCCUCUUUAGCAGGCAAAGCCGGAAACAGAAGCAAAAACAAUUUCGACAUUGUUGCUAAAAUGGACAAUGAAGAAAGCAACUUGCACGAAGUUUGCCGUGUGUGUGCCAACAAAAUAAAGGACAAGAAGCGCCAGCGGCAUAUCUUUAAUUAUUUGCGGGGCAAGUUACUACAAAAUCUGAAGCUCAUUACUGGAGUCGAGCUGUCGAUGAACGAAGGCUUGCCCAAAUUUAUUUGCGAUCGAUGCUAUUCCGAACUUGAUUUGGCCAUCAAGUUUCGCGAGCGCUGUAUCUUUUCGCAAAAGUAUUUGGAGGAAAUGCUUACAAAGGUCCGCAAGGAAUUUGUAGUAAACACGGCCGAACGGGAGCUAUACGAGGACUUGAUCGAUGAGGAACAGCUGGAGUACAUUGAUGAAGAUGUGCAGUUUUUAGAAGAUACCGAUGUUGGAAAUCUAUUUGACGACAUUAGUGCAGAGAUUACUGAGGAUGAAGUUGAAGAAACUGGACAUGCAGAAGUAAACGCGGAAGAGGAUCAGUCGAGAAGCGAGAAACGGCAUUGGGUAUUGUUGGAAGACAAACGGCCCGCUAAGCGGUUACGUCAUUUUUUUAUAUGCGAAGAAUGUGGAGAAUAUUUUAAGAAUGAGUACGAUUACAAUGAACAUAAAGAAGGACAUUUGGAAAACAAAGAAUCAAAGAGAUUUUUUCCCUGUUACAAAUGCCCGGCGACCUUCAAAACCAGAAUCGCGUUGAAACUUCAUCGACGGGAAGAACAUUCCGGAGAGCGUAAUUUCAAGUGUGCAACUUGUGGCGAAACAUUUCUAGAACACAACGCCAAACAGCGCCAUGAGAAAGCGCACAUCAAUGAGAGACCCUACCCUUGUCUAGAAUGCGAUAAAAUUUUUAAUAGCGUAUCCGAGCUACGGGCGCAUUCCACUAACCAUGCAAUGCGGAAAUUUAGGUGCGAGCCUUGUAACAUGGACUUCACAAUGCGCAAACAUCUCGUAGCGCACUCAAAUACAUAUCCACAUAAACGCACUGUGCAGCAAAUGCAGGAUGAAAUUGAUAUGCUAUAUGGGGAGACAGAGGAGGAAACGGAGAUUAUUUAAUUUAUAUUUCCAGUAUUAAAAUAGGUAUAGUUCAAAUUGCAAAAAUAUGCUUGUUAAAGUAAGUCAGUAACAGAAGAUUUAUUUAAUAUAAUGUUAACAAGAGAGAGAGAGAGAGAGAGAGGGAGAGAGAGCUUUCAGCAAGGCGCCUGCGCAUGGGAGGCCGCUUUUCAACAACAUAAGUAGCCUUAUAAAUGGGGGUACAAAAAGAAUUUUGUGUGUAUUCAGUGUAUUCAACUGGUUGCCACCAGUUCACAGUGACCAGCUCAAUAUAGUUAUACAUACAGGUACGGAAAUACAGCUGGUGCAGCCGAAAAAUCAAUAAGACCACAAACUUCUACGUAAGCAGUGAUACGAGUAUUAUAAAUGCGCAAUAUGCUAUCCCAGUCAAAAGCUUUAGGCACGAUGCUUGGCUGCUUUAUUUUGCUGGUGGGCAGUGCUUCUCAAGUGCGUGCCUUUGACUCCAAAGACAGCAUC